GUGACCUCAAAUCAGGUAGGACUACCCGCUGAACUUAAGCAUAUCAUUAAGCGGAGGAAAAGAAACUAACAAGGAUUCCCCUAGUAACUGCGAGUGAAGCGGGAAAAGCUCAAAUUUAAA
RNAcentral lists this ribosomal RNA (120 nucleotides) under uncultured Dermocybe. Its description in RNAcentral is "partial 28S ribosomal RNA". It matches the Rfam family "Eukaryotic large subunit ribosomal RNA", at positions 1 to 119 of the family's 3401-position model. The record is from RNAcentral. Lineage: Eukaryota; Fungi; Basidiomycota; Agaricomycetes; Agaricales; Cortinariaceae.